Molecule: ribosomal RNA, 401 nt
Filed under: uncultured bacterium
Lineage: Bacteria
Description: bacterial SSU rRNA
Rfam family: Bacterial small subunit ribosomal RNA
Source: RNAcentral
AGUGAACGCUGGCGGUAGGCCUAACACAUGCAAGUCGAACGGCAGCACAGGAGAGCUUGCUCUCUGGGUGGCGAGUGGCGGACGGGUGAGGAAUACAUCGGAAUCUACCUUUUUCGUGGGGGAUAACGUAGGGAAACUUACGCUAAUACCGCAUACGACCUACGGGUGAAAGUGGGGACCGCAAGGCCUCACGCGAUUAGAUGAGCCGAUGUCCGAUUAGCUAGUUGGCGGGGUAAUGGCCCACCAAGGCGACGAUCGGUAGCUGGUCUGAGAGGAUGAUCAGCCACACUGGAACUGAGACACGGUCCAGACUCCUACGGGAGGCAGCAGUGGGGAAUAUUGGACAUGGGCGCAAGCCUGAUCCAGCCAUACCGCGUGGGUGAAGAAGGCCUCGGUUGUAA